UCAAGCACAACUCUAAACUUCCAUAAGCAUCAAUACAUUACAUUUCUAUACUAUACUUUUACAUUACAUCAUAAUCAUGUCCACAUCUAUCCAAUACAUAAAACAUGACUCUACUCCUGCUGACCUCCUGGUCUACCCUGUACCUGCAAACCUGGGGGUUAGGGGAGAGGGGUGAGCUAUAAAGCCCAGUGAGCAGAAUAAUAAAAUAUUCAAUUUAAAUUUCAUGCUUUCAUGAAAUGCAACACAGCACAAACAAAUCACAUCAAGGAUGGACUUGUCACCAAUAGUCCUCUACAUAGUCCAAUCGUGCCAGGGGCGUAGAAUGGGCCUCACUGGUCUUUCUCUUAACAUAGUGCCAGGGGCGUAGAAUGGGCCUCACUGGCUAUCCAUACCGUAUCGUCAUCAUACCAUAACAUACGAGGACUAAAGGAUCAUUCAACAUCCAUCCACAUCAUCAUUCAAGUUAUGCAAUGCAACAUAUUCGUGAAUUCUAAUGCAAACAACCUAGUAUAUCUCAUGGCAUACGUGAUGCAUGUAUCAUGCUCAAAAUUUAUUUAUUUGCUUUGAAACGUAAGGAAUUAUUCCACUCACCUCUGGCUGAAGCUCUAAUGACUCUGAAGUAGCUAUCUCACUGCUGAGGUCCUCGGUUCCUCGGGUCCGAACCU
Molecule: long non-coding RNA, 665 nt
Filed under: Manihot esculenta (cassava)
Lineage: Eukaryota; Viridiplantae; Streptophyta; Magnoliopsida; Malpighiales; Euphorbiaceae
Description: long non-coding RNA (MESC_LNC000392)
Source: RNAcentral